This 433-nucleotide ribosomal RNA is filed under the name uncultured bacterium. Its description in RNAcentral is "partial 16S ribosomal RNA". It matches the Rfam family "Bacterial small subunit ribosomal RNA", at positions 29 to 507 of the family's 1533-position model. The record is from RNAcentral.
AGCGAACGCUGGCGGCAGGCCUAGCACAUGCAAGUCGAACGAACUCUUCGGAGUUAGUGGCGGACGGGUGAGUAACACGUGGGAACGUGCCUUUUGGUUCGGAAUAACUCAGGGAAACUUGUGCUAAUACCGAAUGUGCCCUUCGGGGGAAAGAUUUAUCGCCAUUAGAGCGGCCCGCGUCUGAUUAGCUAGUUGGUGAGGUAACGGCUCACCAAGGCGACGAUCAGUAGCUGGUCUGAGGGGAUGACCAGCCACACUGGGACUGAGACACGGCCCAGACUCCUACGGGAGGCAGCAGUGGGGAAUCUUGCGCAAUGGGCGAAAGCCUGACGCAGCCAUGCCGCGUGAAUGAUGAAGGUCUUAGGAUUGUAAAAUUCUUUCACCGGGGACGAUAAUGACGGUACCCGGAGAAGAAGCCCCGGCUAACUUCGUG